Molecule: ribosomal RNA, 124 nt
Organism: Erinaceus europaeus (western European hedgehog)
Lineage: Eukaryota; Metazoa; Chordata; Mammalia; Eulipotyphla; Erinaceidae
Source: Ensembl
GUCUACGGCCAUACCACCCUGAACACGCCCAAUCUUGUCUGAUCUCAGAAGCUAAGCAGGGUCGGGCCUGGUUAGUACUUGGAUGGGAGAAUGUGAGCUCAGAUCUACAGGGAUGCAGAGGUCA